GUUUAAGCCGCCGCGGUAAUACGUAGGUGGCAAGCGUUGUCCGGAUUUAUUGGGUUUAAAGGGUGCGUAGGCGGCCCUGUAAGUCAGUGCUGAAAUAUCCCGGCUUAACCGGGAGGGUGGCAUUGAUACUGCGGGGCUUGAGUACAGAUGAAGUCGGCGGAAUUGACGGUGUAGCGGUGAAAUGCAUAGAUAUCGUCAAGAACACCGAUAGCGAAGGCAGCUGACUAAGUUGUAACUGACGCUGAGGCACGAAAGUGUGGGGAUCAAACAGGAUUAGAAACCCCAGUAGUCC
This 292-nucleotide ribosomal RNA is filed under the name uncultured bacterium. RNAcentral's name for it is "partial 16S ribosomal RNA". It matches the Rfam family "Bacterial small subunit ribosomal RNA", at positions 505 to 796 of the family's 1533-position model. The record is from RNAcentral.